UAUUAUUAAAAAGAUGGCCAAUUGUACAGUUGUGAUAAAUGUGAGAUUGAUUUUUUUUUAAAGAUUUUAUUUAUUUGAGAGAGAGAGAGAGAGAGCACAAAGGGGAGAGGGUCCAAGGGAGAAGCAGACUCCCUGCAGAGCAGGGAGCCUGAUGCGGGACUCGAUCCUGGGACUCCAGGAUUAUGACCCGAGCCGAAGGCAGUAGCUUAACCAACAGAGCCACCCAGGCACUCUAAACGUGAGAAUGAGAUGGUGCAUUACAUUGAUUAUUACAUAUAUGUAAAGCUGAGGUUAAUUAAUGAAAGUCCACUAUACAGAUUCGGGACAUAAAAACUCUCCUUGGGUUUUUGUGAAUUAUAGUGAUUACAGAUUAUUAUUAAUGAAUUAAUGAUCAAUAAACAAAUGGAAUUGAAUGAAGAAAAAGAGGGACAAUACUGGAUCGAUGAUGACCACUGGUGGCGUAUGAGUUAUGUACGAUGAAUACGUGUCUGGAACUCUGAGGUCCAAAAGAAGAGAAAUCUAGUCCAUUCCCUUUUUUAAAAGCGAUUCUACAUACAGAGGUCAGGAAUACACAGAGAUCUUUUUGGCCUUUGUGCUCAUGGUUUUUCAUUCCAUUAUUAUAAUUGGAUAAGUGAAUUGAAAGAAAGAAAGAGAAAAAGAAAGAGAGAAAGAUAAGUGGAGUGAACCGUUGUCCAAUUAUAAAAAUCUGUGAUCAGGCAAGAAAUGCUGUGGAUAUAUUUUCAAAACACUGAAGUUCAACAGCAUAUGACUGUUACUUCUUAGAUUAGGGAGAGUAUAGACAGUAUAAAUUAUAGACAGUGUUUAUGUUUUGGGUCAGUGGCAAAUUCAAAAUUGUUUUCUUAAGAGAAAAUGAAAUAAAUACACUUGAAAUUAAUGAUUGCACAAAUGACUGUCUAAAUUAAAGAAGAAAGGCAAGGAUCAGUUGAGAGAUGGCAUAAUUUUUUUUCAUCAUCUGUUCUGCUCUGUACUCCUCAGAAUGGGCACACUUGAGCUGAUGUCAGCAUCUUUCAUGGUCUUGAGCUCCUGGUUCCAUGUAUUUGUUAGAGGCAUGGAGACCAAACCUUAGAACGGACACCCUUGAGCUGAUGGAAGAUCCUCCAGGGUCGUGAGCUCCAUGGUUACAUCUCUGCUUUAGGAGCAUGGAGAUCAAUAAUGGGCACUGCCACACCAAUUCUGGCAUUCUGCCAUGGCCUCAAUGGCUGUCUUAGGAGCAUGGAGACCGGAGUGUAGUGGACACACUUGAGCUGAUUCUAUAAUGAUCAAGACCUUUAUUGUUCAGUGAUGGAUGCACCGUAGCUAAUUAAAUUACUCUCCAAUCAUGAAGAUCUUUGCCUUAUCCCUGUGGGAAGGAGCAUAUCAUGCUACUCAUUAUAUUUAAUGAUGAAGAUCCUGACUGACCGAUGUGGCCAAGGACAGUAUAGAUUGGGGUAAGUAGUAGAUUAAGUUUUUAUUCUUGGUUUCGUCCUUUUAUUCAUGGAUGAUGACUGUAUUGUUUAAAAAGAAUAAAUGGCUUCAUGCAAUCAUAAAUUGAAAUCAAUGAAGACCAUUCAUGGACAAAUGAUAAGAAUUUAUCCUGAUAAGAUCGUGCUUAAUUCAUUUUUCAAAACUGAAAAAAACAAAACAAAACAGAUCUCCAUUCAAAAAAUAGAUUUAGACUACUCUCUCUCUCAGAUUAAGAAGAUUAUAGAUCUUUGUUCAGUGAGAAAUGGAAUAAAUGAUGAAUGAAAUAGAGAAUGAUUGAAUGACACAGUGAGGUAAUGAAUGACUGAGUCUUUGUGGAAACAAAAGGAAAUCUAUUGAUGAAAAUGUGAAGGAGUAUGCAAAUGUGUUAAUAAAUUAACAACGAGUUGAGUAAAUGGAUAUGUGCAUAAAUGCAUGUUGAAUUAAUUAAUGAAUUAAUGCGUGGAUGAGAGCACGUGUAAGUAAAAGUGUCAAAAGGAUAAUGAGUGAGUGAUGAAUGAAUGAGUCCGUGAGUGAAUGAGUGAAAGACUAGUUGCUCAAGGAGGACCAAUAAGUGAAGGAUGAGUGCACAAAUGGAUGCGAGAAUGAAUAAGUGAAUCCCCGAAUGAGCUCCUGAAUUACUAGAGAAUUGAAAAUUAACUAGUAAUGAGGGAAUGAAUGAACCGUGGGUCAAUGUAUGCAUCAAUGAGUGAAUAAGUAACCAAAUGAAUUAAGUAAUAAGCCAACAACUGAGUGGGUGAAGAAAUUAAUAAAUCAAUGAGAGAAGGAAAAAGUUGAAUAAUUUAACUAAUGUGUAAAUAAAUAAGUCCACAAAUGAGACAAAUUAAUGAGUGGAUGCAUUAGCAAGUGGAUGGAGGAAUGGAGUGGAUAUUAGAGUGAGUGAAUAAAAUAAUGAAUUAGUGAGUGAGUCAAUGAGUCAGUGGAUGGGAAUGUAAUCCAAGAACAACUUCACUGAAUGAAUGAGUAAAGGGGGGGGUCAAGAAAGGAGUGAGUGAGUCAGUGAUCCAUGUGUGAGGCAGAGCAUGAGUGAGCUCACACUGGGAUCCCUUCCCCGACCUCUCCAGAGAGAGCUCGCCACACCCCAACCUCACGGCAUGCUGGGAAUGCCAGUACGUUGUAAACAGCUUCACAGGAGCGCCCAUGCUACUCCAUCAUGGGCAUUGGUGUACAUGUCAUCACUAGAUGGAUGUGCCCCGAGAGCCAGGAACCGGGUCACAUUCUUCUCUGGAGCCUAGGAGGCGCCCAGUAAAUUAUUGCUGAAUGAAUUAAUGAAGAACUAAAAAUACAUGUGCUUUUGUGGAACCGGGAUGGCCCUUCUCAGAAUGGUCUGGGAACUGUGCUGUGGGGAAGUGUGCUGUGUGUCAGAUGGUCUGUGGCAUCCUCCUACGCAAGUGCAGAUUCUCCCUUGGGUCUGGCUUCUAGGGUUCAGUGCCAGACAGUGAGACAGGAUACUGGCAGUUCUGACUACCCUGGACCUUGGCCCAUCCUUGGGCAACGUUGGCUUGCCAUUGGGGAAUCAAAGUCCUGGGUCUUCCCGAAAGCUGCCCUUGCGUCUGCCAAGACUGGAGGUCGAAAAUAACCUGGUCUUGUUUUUAUGCCUCCAGCAAGUGGGCCAGCUCCUUGCCCGUGCAAGCAAGCCGAGUUCCUCUGGUUGUCGUUGUAGGACUUUGGGUUAGACUUAAGGUGCCUCUGGACCUCCAGUCUCAGCAUCAUCCGCUCGAUAAGGGUAACAGUUGUUAUGGGAAUUAACCUUGUCUAGCAGGAGCUUAUUAGAAUGUCCACACUAUGGUACUUGGGAGGGAAUAGAAGCCUCAGAAAUCACCUAAAGUAGCUGUAAUUGAAUGGUUUCA
Long non-coding RNA from Mirounga angustirostris (Northern elephant seal), 3332 nucleotides. RefSeq lists it as uncharacterized. NCBI's taxonomy places the organism in Eukaryota, Metazoa, Chordata, Mammalia, Carnivora, Phocidae. The transcript has 6 exons. The record is from RefSeq and is a predicted model, not a curated record.